Molecule: ribosomal RNA, 413 nt
Filed under: uncultured eukaryote
Lineage: Eukaryota
Description: SSU rRNA
Rfam family: Eukaryotic small subunit ribosomal RNA
Source: RNAcentral
CAAUAGCGUAUAUUAAAGUUGUUGCGGUUAAAGCUCGUAGUUGGAUUUCUGCCGAGGACGACCGGUCCGCCCUCUGGGUGAGUAUCUGGUUCGGCCUGGGCAUCUUCUUGGAGAACGUAUCUGCACUUGACUGUGUGGUGCGGUAUCCAGGACUUUACUUGAGGAAAUUAGAGUGUUUCAAGCAGGCACACGCCUUGAAUACAUUAGCAUGGAAUAAUAAGAUAGGGCGCUGGCUCCAUUUUGUUGGUUUCUAGAGCUGGGGUAAUGGUUAAUAGGGAUAGUUGGGGCAUUUGUAUUUAACUGUCAGAGGUGAAAUUCUUGGAUUUGUUAAAGACAGACUACUGCGAAAGCACUUGCCAUGGAUGUUUUCAUUGAUCAAGAACGAAAGUUAGGGGGAUCGAAGACGAUUAGAU